This is a small nucleolar RNA of Lupinus angustifolius (narrow-leaved blue lupine), 65 nucleotides long. It matches the Rfam family "Small nucleolar RNA U49". Lineage: Eukaryota; Viridiplantae; Streptophyta; Magnoliopsida; Fabales; Fabaceae. The record is from Rfam.
UCCCAAUGAGGAAGAAUACCCAAAUUGAUAGGAAGUGCCGUAUGACACUAUACAGCAGCGUAUUU